This 500-nucleotide small RNA is filed under the name Pan troglodytes (chimpanzee). RNAcentral's name for it is "retained intron". The record is from RNAcentral. Lineage: Eukaryota; Metazoa; Chordata; Mammalia; Primates; Hominidae.
CGGACAAGGAGUACAACAUGCCGAAGGACGGCACCGUACACGAGCUCACCAGCAAUGCCAUCCUCUUCCUGCAGCAGCUUUUGGACUUCCAGGAGACGGCAGGCGCCAUGCUGGCCUCCCAAGGUACUGGUACCUCCCAGUUGGGCCCCCUGCCCCACUCGCCUCCUUGCCUGGAGACAUGGGGUUAGAGGGCAGGUAGCAGUGAGGAGGUAUCUCCAGUCUGUGGAGGGGUUGAGGUGUGCUCAGCAGAGGGUCCCUGGGGCUGAGCAUCAGGAGAGCAAGGUUUGCCUGCACCUUUCAAGACCAGACACUGGACCUCUGGCCCCUCCCUCAGCCCCUUUGACCGUCCUCGCCCUGGAAGCAGUGUCCUCACUCUGGGAGCGGUGCUGGCUGGUUGGAAGGUGUCCUUUCUGCCCCUGCCCCCCUCCCAAAUCCUUCUCUCGUGUCUGCCUGCUCUCCUAAUCAGGCUCGCUCAGCUGGCCUUCAGAGGGUAGCAAGUG